Long non-coding RNA from Daphnia carinata, 344 nucleotides. RefSeq lists it as uncharacterized. The transcript has 3 exons. NCBI's taxonomy places the organism in Eukaryota, Metazoa, Arthropoda, Branchiopoda, Diplostraca, Daphniidae. The record is from RefSeq and is a predicted model, not a curated record.
UUUCCAAAUCAGCAAAUGUGGGGCCGGCGCCAAUAAGGAUUCCAACGAUCCAUCCAAUACUCUGAUCGAAGAUCAGUCCAGCCAUCUAACCAACAAUGAAAGAAGAUGGUGUGUAUUGUGAAUUACAACGUACAGCACCUAACAGUUCCAGGACACCGAACAGCUCUACUGUACUUCCGACGUAUUGCUUCAAUGGUGUUUGAACAGGAAAACACAUCAGACAGCCAAUAGCUAAAUGCCAAGACAUAUAGUGGAAUUCAGUCUGGAGAAAAUAUGCAGCUGUUUGUAGGCAGAAAGAGAAGGUAAGAAAUGAUAAUCGCGACUUAGACAAAAUUAUAUAGAAC